GACGAACGCUGGCGGCGUGCCUAAUACAUGCAAGUAGAACGCACAGUUUAUACCGUAGCUUGCUACACCAUAGACUGUGAGUUGCGAACGGGUGAGUAACGCGUAGGUAACCUGCCUGGUAGCGGGGGAUAACUAUUGGAAACGAUAGCUAAUACCACAUAAUAUUAAUUAUUGCAUGAUAAUUAAUUGAAAGGUGCAAUUGCACCACUACCAGAUGGACCUGCGUUGUAUUAGCUAGUAGGUGAGGUAACGGCUCACCUAGGCGACGAUACAUAGCCGACCUGAGAGGGUGAUCGGCCACACUGGGACUGGGACACGGCCCAGACUCCUACGGGAGGCAGCAGUAGGGAAUCUUCGGCAAUGGACGAAAGUCUGACCGAGCAACGCCGCGUGAGUGAAGAAGGUUUUCGGAUCGUAAAGCUCUGUUGUAAGAGAAGAACGGGUGUGAGAGUGGAAAGUUCACACUGUGACGGUAUCUUACCAGAAAGGGACGGCUAACUACGUG
Molecule: ribosomal RNA, 505 nt
Filed under: uncultured bacterium
Lineage: Bacteria
Description: partial 16S ribosomal RNA
Rfam family: Bacterial small subunit ribosomal RNA
Source: RNAcentral